CCUACGGGAGGCAGCAGUGGGGAAUAUUGCACAAUGGGCGAAACCCUGAUGCAGCGACGCCGCGUGAGUGAAGAAGUAAUUCGUUAUGUACAGCUCUAUCAGCAGGGAAGAAAAAGACGGUACCUGAGGAAGAUGCUACGGCUAACUCCGUGCCAGCAGCAGCGGUAAUACGGAGGGGGCAAGCGUUAUCCGGAUUUACUGGGUGUAAAGGGAGCGUAGACGGACGGGCAAGUAUGGCGUGAAAGUGGGGGGCUCAACCCCCGGAUUGCAGUCGAAACUGGCAGGCUUGAGUGCAGGAGAGGUAGGUGGAAUUCCUGGUGUAGCGGUGAAAUGCGGAGAUAUUAGGAGGAACACCAGUGGCGAAGGCGGCUUACUGGACUGAAACUGACGUUGAGGCUCGAAAGCGUGGGGAGCAAACAGGAUUAGAUACCCCGGUAGUC
This 440-nucleotide ribosomal RNA is filed under the name uncultured bacterium. RNAcentral's name for it is "partial 16S ribosomal RNA". It matches the Rfam family "Bacterial small subunit ribosomal RNA", at positions 338 to 795 of the family's 1533-position model. The record is from RNAcentral.